AGGAAAGAGAUACUCACACCAUCUCCAGAAGAAAUCUGGAGUUUUUUUUAAGUAAGAAUCACGGAGAUAGCUUGUUUGUCCUGCAUAAACACAUUACUCCAGAAGACAACAUCAAAGACAGCAGAACUGUUGUGAACAUCCUCAGGAUGAAAUACAAUUGUUUAUUGUGUGUCUUGGUAACAGAAAAUUCAAUACAUCAUUGGCCUCUGACUAUCCAUCUCAUUUCCAGUCUUCACAAUAUCUGGACAUGGACAACAGCUGCAUAUUCCCUGCUAUCUCCAUAUUGAAUGAGUGUUACAGAGAACACAGAAUAGCAAGAUGAACCAAACAGCUGAACAACCAACACACGAACAGACAAAAGUAUCCUCUUUUACUUCAGUUGGAAAAUCCACUGUAAACUUAGUUUUAAAAGGUGGGGAUAUUUUCUUUCUUUUUUUUUUUUUCCUCACUACCUGAAUAGUGCUGGACAACAAUAUUACAAAAUGUUAAUGUAACUCUCCUGCAAAGUCAGGUUUGCUGGACAGAAAUCCAUAGCACACAUCUUGUUUUAUUAACCGAAGCAAUGCAGAUUUAUAUAAAUACUUGAGGUAAAAUUUAAUUUUUUAAUGCUGCUAACUAACCAGAAAGCAUGUGAAUGAAAAUGUAUUAUUGUCUACUGGUUAGUUUUACCAGA
Long non-coding RNA from Cygnus olor (mute swan), 673 nucleotides. RefSeq lists it as uncharacterized. NCBI's taxonomy places the organism in Eukaryota, Metazoa, Chordata, Aves, Anseriformes, Anatidae. The record is from RefSeq and is a predicted model, not a curated record. The transcript has 3 exons.